Molecule: transfer RNA, 71 nt
Filed under: Marmota monax (woodchuck)
Lineage: Eukaryota; Metazoa; Chordata; Mammalia; Rodentia; Sciuridae
Description: tRNA.Ala
Source: RNAcentral
GGGGUUGUGGCUCAAUGGUAGAUCGCUCACCUAGCACGUGCGAGGCGCUGGGUUUGAUCCUCAGCACCACA